Molecule: ribosomal RNA, 519 nt
Filed under: uncultured bacterium
Lineage: Bacteria
Description: bacterial SSU rRNA
Rfam family: Bacterial small subunit ribosomal RNA
Source: RNAcentral
AUGGCUCAGGACGAACGCUGGCGGCGUGCCUAAUACAUGCAAGUCGAGCGAAUGAUUAGAGAAGCUUGCUUCUCUCUGAUUAGCGGCGGACGGGUGAGUAACACGUGGGUAACCUACCCUAUAGACUGGGAUAACUUCGGGAAACCGGAGCUAAUACCGGAUAAUACUUCGAAACACAUGUUUUGAAGUUGAAAGAUGGUUUCGGCUAUCACUAUAGGAUGGACCCGCGGCGCAUUAGCUAGUUGGUGAGGUAACGGCUCACCAAGGCAACGAUGCGUAGCCGACCUGAGAGGGUGAUCGGCCACACUGGGACUGAGACACGGCCCAGACUCCUACGGGAGGCAGCAGUAGGGAAUCUUCCACAAUGGACGAAAGUCUGAUGGAGCAACGCCGCGUGAGUGAAGAAGGAUUUCGGUUCGUAAAACUCUGUUGCGAGGGAAGAACAAGUAGCGUAGUAACUGGCGCUACCUUGACGGUACCUUGUUAGAAAGCCACGGCUAACUACGUGCCAGCCGCAGC